Molecule: ribosomal RNA, 253 nt
Filed under: uncultured bacterium
Lineage: Bacteria
Description: partial 16S ribosomal RNA
Rfam family: Bacterial small subunit ribosomal RNA
Source: RNAcentral
UACGGAGGGUGCAAGCGUUGUUCGGAAUCACUGGGCGUAAAGCGCACGUAGGUGGACCUGUAAGUCAAUUGUGAAAUCCCAGGGCUUAACCUUGGAAUUGCAGCUGAAACUAUGAGUCUUGAAUGCCUGAGAGGGUGGGGGAAUUCCUGGAGGAGAAGUGAAAUUCGUAGAGAUCAGGAGGAACACCGGAGGCGAAAGCGCCUACCUGGCGGUGCAUUGACACUGAGGUGCGAAAGCGUGGGGAGCAAACAGG